AUGUGAGAGUGAUCUGACUUGACAUCGUCCACCCCAUUGAUUGCCAGGGUUGAUUUGUCUGAUCUGGUUGGCUGGGAGGGGUGUGUGUCCCCUCCUUCCUCAUCUCUUCACAUGUGUCCCUCGCAAAGCUUUGAGCUAGUCCAAAGAGGAGGACCUUUCCUGAAUAGAGGAGGACCAGCCUUCGUCAAUGGUACAGGAGUAGCUGUGCUCCCCUGCUAGAACCUCUAAAUAAGAUUAUUUUUAGAAGCUGCAUGUUAUGCUAAACUAUAGAUCAACCAAUACUGUUGAAUAUUUCAUAAGGCUAGGGACUUUUUU
Molecule: non-coding RNA, 315 nt
Organism: Mus musculus (house mouse)
Lineage: Eukaryota; Metazoa; Chordata; Mammalia; Rodentia; Muridae
Source: Rfam